This 695-nucleotide ribosomal RNA is filed under the name uncultured Burkholderiales bacterium. Its description in RNAcentral is "bacterial SSU rRNA". It matches the Rfam family "Bacterial small subunit ribosomal RNA", at positions 28 to 718 of the family's 1533-position model. Lineage: Bacteria; Pseudomonadati; Pseudomonadota; Betaproteobacteria; Burkholderiales. The record is from RNAcentral.
AUUGAACGCUGGCGGCAUGCCUUACACAUGCAAGUCGAACGGCAGCACGGACUUCGGUCUGGUGGCGAGUGGCGAACGGGUGAGUAAUAUAUCGGAACAUACCCAGUAGUGGGGGAUAACUAUCCGAAAGGAUAGCUAAUACCGCAUACGAUCUGUGGAUGAAAGCAGGGGAUCUUCGGACCUUGUGCUAUUGGAAUGGCCGAUAUCUGAUUAGCUAGUUGGUAGGGUAAAAGCCUACCAAGGCGACGAUCAGUAGCUGGUCUGAGAGGACGACCAGCCACACUGGAACUGAGACACGGUCCAGACUCCUACGGGAGGCAGCAGUGGGGAAUUUUGGACAAUGGGGGCAACCCUGAUCCAGCAAUGCCGCGUGAGUGAAGAAGGCCCUCGGGUUGUAAAGCUCUUUUGUCAGGGAAGAAACGGAGUUCUCUAAUAUAGGAUUCUAAUGACGGUACCUGAAGAAUAAGCACCGGCUAACUACGUGCCAGCAGCCGCGGUAAUACGUAGGGUGCAAGCGUUAAUCGGAAUUACUGGGCGUAAAGCGUGCGCAGGCGGUUUUGUAAGUCUGAUGUGAAAUCCCCGGGCUCAACCUGGGAACUGCAUUGGAGACUGCAAGGCUAGAGUGUGUCAGAGGGGGGUAGAAUUCCACGUGUAGCAGUGAAAUGCGUAGAGAUGUGGAGGAAUACCGAUGGCGA